RNAcentral lists this ribosomal RNA (257 nucleotides) under uncultured prokaryote. RNAcentral's name for it is "partial 16S ribosomal RNA". It matches the Rfam family "Bacterial small subunit ribosomal RNA", at positions 526 to 782 of the family's 1533-position model. The record is from RNAcentral.
CGUAGGUGGCAAGCGUUGUCCGGAUUUAUUGGGCGUAAAGCGAGCGCAGGCGGUUCCUUAAGUCUGAUGUGAAAGCCCACGGCUCAACCGUGGGAGGUCAUUGGAAACUGGGGAACUUGAGUGCAGAAGAGGAGAGUGGAAUUCCAUGUGUAGCGUUGAAAUGCGUAGAUAUAUGGAGGAACACCAGUGGCGAAGGCGACUCUCUGGUCUGUAACUGACGCUGAGGCUCGAAAGCGUGGGGAGCAAACAGGAUUAGA